UUCUGCAGAGGUGGCGUCAACACGAGGCGUUACCCCGCUUGUUCUUCCCUCUGAACAGUGCUUUACAACCGAAGGCCUUCAUCACACACGCGGCGUUGCUGCGUCAGGCUUUCGCCCAUUGCGCAAAAUUCCC
Molecule: ribosomal RNA, 133 nt
Filed under: uncultured bacterium
Lineage: Bacteria
Description: partial 16S ribosomal RNA
Source: RNAcentral